GACAGGCUGUCCGAGUGGUUAAGGAGUUUGACUUGAAUUGCACAAGGUUCAUGGUUAUCAAAUGCGGUCCCCGCGCGUAGGUUCGAAUCCUGCGCCUGUCG
Molecule: non-coding RNA, 101 nt
Organism: Lipomyces chichibuensis
Lineage: Eukaryota; Fungi; Ascomycota; Lipomycetes; Lipomycetales; Lipomycetaceae
Source: the annotation of a GenBank genome assembly